AGAGAGAGAGAGAGAGAGAGACCUUGCAUUUGUAUAUUUUAUAAAUUUGUGCUCAGAAUUUGCCCAGAUCCUCAAAACAUUUUAACUAACCACUUGAAGCUUAGAUUCUAUUCGCUGAACUACUUGAUGUACUGCUUAUGUAGGCAUGAUCACUGUCAUACUGGGGGGACUUGGGAUUUGUCUUGCUUGCCUCUUUUGCUUCCCUGAUCAUUGAGUUUCAUCAUCUUUCUAAGGCAUUGUCACGAUGAUGAAAUCUGCCAAUGUUAUGUAAAGUAAAACAUCGUCAACAAUAAUGUAGAACUAGGAUAUGCUAAAGUCUAGUGAAAGGCGACCUAUUUACCAUGGUAUCUCUAAUUUUUUUUAGCAAUUAUAGAGAUUCUACCUGUUAACCUCCACCAUCGUGAAAUUGUCACUGCACCUCACAUGGAGGGAAGAAACAGAAAAUGAGAACAAAUCAUGAAGCUUCGGCAAAGCUUCUUUUAUUAAUAGAUUAAUUUGUAUCAUCAGCUGAAGCUAUUUAAGAUGAACAACAAUGCAUCAAAAAAUAAAACAGAUCAAUAGAAAAAUUAUCAUCUGCAGAAGAAUUUCAAUGGAAAUAAAGAUGUAAAAUGGAUUUGCUGCCUGUGACAACUGUUCUAUUGCUCAAAUCCAAGUCCUAAUUCUAGAUUAAUUGUUUUCCCUUGAGAAAUAUCUAUAAAAAUAGGAACCUACUUCUCAAACCCAAUUUUGGAAGGCUCAACCAUCCACUUAGGACCUUACCAAUAAAGAAGAUAAUAGGACUUCAUUUAGCUCCUCAUUGUAGGGUUGAGCAUUCAGCAGGUCCUAUUCAGUUCGAAAUUUAAUAAAACUGAACUAAAUUGAACUGAAUCCAUUUCAGUAGUUAAAUCAAACCGAAUAGAAAUAAUUUGAUUUGGAUCAUUGGUUUUUAAUAUUAAUACACACACACACCCACAAUUCCAGUCAGUUUCAUUAAUUCGUUUUUUCCCCCCUAAACCAAACCUAAUUGAAUUGACAUUAUUACUUGCAAACCAAUCCAAACUGG
RNAcentral lists this unclassified non-coding RNA (1042 nucleotides) under Hevea brasiliensis (rubber tree). The record is from RNAcentral. Lineage: Eukaryota; Viridiplantae; Streptophyta; Magnoliopsida; Malpighiales; Euphorbiaceae.